Pipistrellus kuhlii (Kuhl's pipistrelle) is the source of this 3126-nucleotide long non-coding RNA. RefSeq lists it as uncharacterized. Lineage: Eukaryota; Metazoa; Chordata; Mammalia; Chiroptera; Vespertilionidae. The transcript is spliced from 2 exons. The record is from RefSeq and is a predicted model, not a curated record.
GUGAGGAGGGAACAUGGUGGGGGGGGGGGGGGAAGGAUGCUCGCGCAGCCCCGAGGUCUCAGGGUCGCUGCGUUUGCGAUCCGGCUUGCUUUCCUGUUUGCAAGUUAAGACGGAGUGGACGGCUCUGCUGGGGCAGUGAGCUUCCUAUUCGCCCCCAAGGCUCACGAUUCCUGGGACACCCCAUUCCCCAAAACCAGUUCCUUCUGUGGGAUGGGGGCGAGGUUCCAAGGACAGGGGAGAAGCUGUGAGGUGCUGCUCUCAUCUUUCCGUUGUCGCUGUUGUUUUGUGAGUGUUACAAUUACCAUGAUUGUUGCCGUUGUUGUUAUUAUUAUUAUUAUUAUUUUGCCAUCUGUUGUCCCAGGGGCGGGGUGCUGUGCAGACCUAGGGCUGCUCACAACCGGGGACUGCAGAUCGCACCUCCGGUUCCAGGCCGUGUCCGCAUUUUCGAGCUCGCCUUAGGUUUUGGGAUGAUUUUAGGGCCGCGUUCCCUCAUCCCCAUUGGCUCUCGCAGAGGCAUAAUUAUGAUCACAUCCCCCAGGCUGCUGGCGCUGCUCUCUGUUUAUUGGUGGUUAAAGAUCUAUUAUCUAUUCAUCAGCCGCCUCUUUUUUUUCUUUUUUCUUUUUUGCCAAUUACAUUCUUCAAGAAAAAAAAAAUGAAGUACCAGCAGGUAUUUUGCACUUUUACAAUUAAUGACAAAAAGAAAUCUGGCAUCCUUUAAAUCAUGACUUGGGAGCCCGUGUCAUUUCUGUUAAGAAUGAAGAGAUGCCUGUGUUUGGUGACUAGGUUGCCGUGAGACCCUGAAAAAGUCGAUUGAGAAGGGGGGUGAGGGGGGGAAUGGGGGAGAAGAGCAAAGUCAUGUGAUGCAGGCAGACCGACACCAGAUUGAUCCAUGGAGGGGCCCAGUUCUUAGGCCUUGUCUCUCCUCUCCCUCACCUGCCUCCCUCCCCACCCUGGGUCUCCCUUGUCCUUCUCUGGUUUUACCGGCUGUGUGUUUCUCCACUUUAUUACAGGCAUGGUUUGUUGGGGUGAGGGAAUCCAAAAAGCCCUUCCAGAAAACUCUCCAGGCGAGAGAGGCGUUAGGAGGGCACUUUCUGGGAUUGUCUAGGCGCCUGACCUUAGUGAGGGGCCCACAGAGACCCUGUGUGCUGCCCCCUCCCCUCCUCCUCCCUUCCCUGGGAGAUUCACACACACACACACACACACACGCACACACACACACACACACACGUUCACACACCAGACAGGUGUGGCUUUUAGCUUUGUCCUCACACAAAAAAACCUGCCCCCGCCUCAGGCUGCACACCUCUGACACCAGCUGUGGGCAGGGGUCCCGGCUGGGUUUUCGUCUUGAUUGGGUACUCACAGCCUUCCUAGGCCGCCCUCUGAGCCCCUUCCUUCUCCCAUACCCAGGGAUGUUGGAGGUUCCAUCCAACCUCUUGGGAUGCAGUGUAUGGAAAGACGUUCCUCUCUGGGGCCUGUACCACCGCCCCCCCCCACAAAUAUUUUCUCUAGCUCAGAACCCCCCUCCUUCCAGGAGGCUGUAGGGACAGAGACCCCAACAAGCGAAGCCUGCGCAGACCCCUAAGCUGCCUGGGAGGUGGAGGUGUUUCAGCUGGGCCAGCCAGCCAGCCUGGAAUGGAGGGAGAGGUCAGGCCUCCAUUUCCAGUGCCAGACAGAAACGCCCAGCCUGGGCCGGCUGUAAGAUCCUGGGGUGGAAGGGAGAGAGCCCACUUCUCCUUCUCCGUGGACGGCUCUUCGGGAAGGCUGGCGGGUCAGGCUCACCCUGAGGCCCUCCAAACUGACCCUUAGCUUCCACGUUGAAAACGGGGGGGGGGCGCACUAAAAGCCACCCCCAGGCUGCAAGGCUGGCAGUGACCACUCCUUGUGCAGUUAGUGAUAGUGACCUUGGUGGGGAUAUGAGAGCAGAUGACCUUGAGGGCAUCCUUCGGUGUCUCAAGGUGUGUAUUCCUAAGGGUGUUUCCCUCUUUGAAAACGCUCGGGGUGAGCUCUAAGGGGGAGUGGGCACCCCUUUAAACCCUUACCCCUCUUUGGCCAGAGUGUGUCUGGAGUCUCUUGGGAGCCCAGACCCCUCAGCCUUUCCCUCCAGGGGCAGAGGGCCCAGGCAGCUCACAGCCAGGUCUCCGCUAACAUCCACUGCUGACGGCCCGCUGACCGCUGACCGGGCCUCACAAAUCCUGCCGAGAGGGGUCAGCUUUGCCCCAGGGACUCUAAUUGUUGGGCGGUGGGCAUGGGUGUGGCAGCUGUGGGCUCUGGUGCCCGCCCUCCUGGCAGGAUCAGGACUUGCCAGUUCCUCUGCCUCCCUCCCCACUGGCCCCACGCCUCACCUGGACCCCCAAAAGGGGAAAGUGGGUUUCUAGGCAGUGGGGGAUGGGGGGAGGCACUGGGCAGCCCUGGAAGCUGGCUAAUCUAUGCUAAUUCAUGCGCCCAGCCUGGAGAUGCUUGGGAAGGUCUGUGCAGCCCCGCUGCUCCUAGGCUCCUCGGAGGCGAGGCAGCAGGUGUGGGGGAGGGGGAGUGGGGGAGAAUUAACUAGGAAAGUAGGAGAGUAACUCCUUACCUACUGGCAGGUGGAAGGCAGCCAGGGCCCGGGGACAGUCUGGCCUCUGGCCUCCAGUCCCUGGCCUGGCAGCUGCGCACAGCGCACGUUGCUGGUGGCUGAGGCCUCGCGGCAUCCAGCCCCUCUUUGUUCCUUAGCCGCCCUAGGAAGGUGAGGGCUUGCACAGGCAGCGUGUAGCGGGAAAGGGGGCUUUCUGACGGAACAAGGGGCUCCCUUUCCCCGUGGCCCAAGCAUUCUGUAGACUCAGGAAUCCACGCGCUGCAGGCAGCCAGUCCAGCAGACGUAUAGUGAAGGUUCUAAUCUUGGAUCUGGCUCUUACCGACCCCGUGAUCGUGGGCAACGUGGCAACCCCUCGGGAUGUCCACGCUGUCCUCUGUCAAAAUACGGCCAGCGGGGCCUGUUGGGAGAGUGAUAGAUCCCUCUGCUUUCUCGCGGUAAUUGCAUGUCUGUAGUAGUCAUGUUUCAAAACUCGUAGAACUAACUGUACCGUGACAAAGGGUGAUGUUUACCCAAUAGAAGUUAUACCUUAUUAUCCUGCUCCCUUCCCCCCC